UUCAGCUAGGCGGCAACAAGGUUCUCAUAGCACACCGGGCUGGCGCGGAAGGGAGCCAAUGGUCCGGCUUAGACACCUGCCUCUGCUCCUGCCCAACGCCCUGAGACACCAGACAAAGUCUCACUGUCGCCCAGGCUGGAGUGCAGUGGGGCGAUCUCAGCUCACAGCAACCUCCGCCUCCAAGGUUCAAGUGAUUCUCCUGCCUUAGCCUCUCAAAUAGCUGGGAUUACAGGUUCUGUAAUCCAAGAUGUCUGUAAAGAGCUGGGAUAUCACUAGGAAAUCAUCUUCAUCCAGACUUAUUCCUGAGUGGAAGAACUUGAAGUUCCUCAUAAAUAAGAUCCUGAAGGACAUAAAGAAUGAUGAAGAACCAAAGAAUGAUGUGGUUCUACUGAGUGACUGGCCUGAGACUCUAUACCGGGAGUCUCACCAUCCACAGAACAAGCCUUUUGUCUGCUUCUACUACUCCAUCAAGGUCAACUGUUUUGUCUCCUUAAACUGGAUG
RNAcentral lists this long non-coding RNA (502 nucleotides) under Homo sapiens (human). RNAcentral describes it as "non-protein coding lnc-ZNF573-1:3". Lineage: Eukaryota; Metazoa; Chordata; Mammalia; Primates; Hominidae. The record is from RNAcentral.